CAGUCGACCUGUUGUGUUGGAUGCCUUGAAGCGUAAUUCCUAUCGGGCGAUGGGUAGAAUCCUUUGUAGAUGACUUAAAUACACAAAGGGGUAUUGUAAGUGGUAGAGUGGCCUUGCUGCCAUGAUCCACUGAGAUUCAGCCCCGUGUCGAAUCGAUUCGUC
This is a long non-coding RNA of Telopea speciosissima, 162 nucleotides long. RefSeq lists it as uncharacterized. NCBI's taxonomy places the organism in Eukaryota, Viridiplantae, Streptophyta, Magnoliopsida, Proteales, Proteaceae. The transcript has 5 exons. The record is from RefSeq and is a predicted model, not a curated record.